RNAcentral lists this ribosomal RNA (406 nucleotides) under uncultured bacterium. Its description in RNAcentral is "partial 16S ribosomal RNA". It matches the Rfam family "Bacterial small subunit ribosomal RNA", at positions 30 to 526 of the family's 1533-position model. The record is from RNAcentral.
AUUGAACGCUGGCGGCAGGCUUAACACAUGCAAGUCGAGCGAGCGGCGGAGGGGUGAGUAAUGUCUGGGAAACUGCCUGAUGGAGGGGGAUAACUACUGGAAACGGUAGAUAAUACCGCAUAUCAUCAAAUGUGCACAGAUGGGAUUAGCUAGUUGGUUGGGUAAUGGCUCACCUAGGCGACGGUCCCUAGCUGGUCUGAGAGGAUGACCGGCCACACUGGAACUGAGACACGGCCCAGACUCCUACGGGAGGCAGCAGUGGGGAAUAUGGCACAAUGGGCGAAAGCCUGAUGCAGCAAUGCCGCGUGAGUGAAGAAGGCCUUCGGGUUGUAAAGCACUGUUCGCGAGGAGGCGGUACUCGCAGAAGAAGCACCGGCUAACUCCGUGCCAGCCGCCGCGGUAAUUC